CCUACGGGUGGCAGCAGUGAGGAAUAUUGGUCAAUGGGCGAGAGCCUGAACCAGCCAAGUCGCGUGAAGGAUGACGGCCCUACGGGUUGUAAACUUCUUUUGUCAGGGAGCAAUUGAGUCCACGUGUGGUCUUAGCGAGAGUACCUGAAGAAAAAGCAUCGGCUAACUCCGUGCCAGCAGCCGCGGUAAUACGGAGGAUGCGAGCGUUAUCCGGAUUUAUUGGGUUUAAAGGGUGCGUAGGCGGAAUAUCAAGUCAGCGGUAAAACUUCGGGGCUCAACCCCGUCGUGCCGUUGAAACGGAUGUUAUGGCGGGGGCGAGAAGUAGGCGGAAUGAGUGGGGUAGCGGUGAAAGGCAUAGAUAGCACGCAGAACUCAGAUGGAGAAGGCAGCAUACCGGCGCCAAACUGACGCUGAGGCACGAAAGCGUGGGUAUCGAACAGGAUUAGAUACCCUUGUAGUC
RNAcentral lists this ribosomal RNA (460 nucleotides) under uncultured bacterium. RNAcentral's name for it is "partial 16S ribosomal RNA". It matches the Rfam family "Bacterial small subunit ribosomal RNA", at positions 338 to 795 of the family's 1533-position model. The record is from RNAcentral.